This 356-nucleotide ribosomal RNA is filed under the name uncultured bacterium. RNAcentral describes it as "bacterial SSU rRNA". It matches the Rfam family "Bacterial small subunit ribosomal RNA", at positions 8 to 353 of the family's 1533-position model. The record is from RNAcentral.
AGAGUUUGAUCCUGGCUCAGGAUGAACGCUAGCUACAGGCUUAACACAUGCAAGUCGAGGGGAAACGACAUCGAAAGCUUGUCUUUUGAUGGGCGUCGACCGGCGCACGGGUGAGUGACGCGUAUCCAACCUGCCCACCACUUGGGGAUAACCUUGCGAAAGUAAGACUAAUACCCAAUGAUAUCUCUAGAAGACAUCUGAAAGAGAUUAAAGAUUUAUCGGUGAUGGAUGGGGAUGCGUCUGAUUAGCUUGUUGGCGGGGUAACGGCCCACCAAGGCGACGAUCAGUAGGGGUUCUGAGAGGAAGGUCCCCCACAUUGGAACUGAGACACGGUCCAAACUCCACGGGAGGCAGCA